CCAAAUUUAUUUAUAUAAGAAUGUUGUCUAGGUACACAUGAAUCUGUCAAACUGUAUUUUUGAAAGAUCAAACAAUUUAGUUAGAUUUAUUCGCAUUGUGCUGCUUGUCCCUAUUGGAUUGCUUGAAACACGAAGAAAAUCAUUAUAACCAAAACGAACAUAACGAAUUAUCAAAAAAAAAGUAAAGGAUCUCACCAAUUCUAAGCAUAUCCAGUGUAUGCAUUUAUUGAAUGUUCUACUAUAAAAAUAUAAACUUGAGCUAGCAAGAAAGUGUAUGUCAGCUGCCGAAUAUCGGUGACAAUAUAUAAAGCAACUUCAUGCACAAAACACGGUCUUGCUGGUUGAAAUUAAAAAGAAAAUUGUGUAAAAAAUAUUGAAAAAGAUAAAUGAGGAC
RNAcentral lists this long non-coding RNA (394 nucleotides) under Mytilus galloprovincialis (Mediterranean mussel). Lineage: Eukaryota; Metazoa; Mollusca; Bivalvia; Mytilida; Mytilidae. The record is from RNAcentral.